This is a long non-coding RNA of Triticum urartu, 1269 nucleotides long. RefSeq lists it as uncharacterized. The record is from RefSeq and is a predicted model, not a curated record. Lineage: Eukaryota; Viridiplantae; Streptophyta; Magnoliopsida; Poales; Poaceae.
AUCGAGGUUGGUUGAGCCACAUCUAAUGGCCAUGGCUGAGCUCUUGGUGGCAUUGACGUGAAGUCCCGAGGCUUGGGCAAAACAUGACAGUAUGAGCUGUAUCAUUGUAGCAUCACUCUUUUUUGGGUUCAUGAACGUUGCCACAUCAUCGGCAUAGAAGGAGCAGCGCAUUAGUGGUGUUCGCCCAGGGAGCUUUGUGAGGACACCGCGGGACGUGGCCAGGGUAAAUCCCCUUUUCUCUCCUCUGGCAGCUCUGAGAGGGGAAUGGGGAAGGGAGCGGCUUCAACAAAUCUUGAGGCCUGCCCAUGGAUCACCAAAGCAAAUCUGGGAAGGAGAUUCUCUUGGAGUCUAGAUCUGACUGAGUGCUCCAGCCGCACGCGGAUUCUGCGGCGCCCAGCAGCGAGACCGCAUCUCGCCGUUGCUGAUCUGCAGAGGAAAAAGCGGUCGCCGGGAGGCCACGGGAGAGUAUAAGAGAUUGCUCUCCUGUUCGUGGCGCUGGGACCAUGAGCUAUGUCGUCUGAUUGAACGACCAGCUUGUUCCUUGCCGUCCGUGGCAGAGAUGGGGAGUCAAACGCGAAGGCAAGUUGUGGGCUUCCUAGUUGCUACUGCUUUAGGCUUCCACCUAUGUAAUGUGUGCUACAACUUUGCAUCAUUCCUACAUCCCUCCACAUCGGCUUAUUCUUCAUAGAUGAGAGGUUGUUGGUACCUCAGCAGGUCGGUCUUGACUUCAUUGGGCAUCGAGUUGCACGAUGAUGUCGAUGUUCGUACGACAUCGUGUCGCAAAAUCACAUGCUUCAAUUUGUAGCACCCUGACUAUGCUUAACGGCUUGGAUAAUUCCAGUGGAAUGGCUAUAGGAUUACCUCCUCCUCCUCGUCGCCUCGGCCACCGCCACUUCUUUGGAGCUUGCAUCCACGCCCAUCAUGUGUUAGCUGUUCGAGGCCCUCUGUCAUAUUCGUAUAUGUGAUGUAGGUCAUUCUCUCUCCCUCGGCAAGCCUAGCUUUCUUUGCUAUUGUUGGUCUCCGGCGGUGAGACUUCGUCCUUGAUCAGGUCAUCUUCCCAAGGAUUUAAGGAAAGCCUCUAUAUCAUAGACUAUUAAUUGAGAUGAUUAGGUUCCUGUGAUAGGAGCCAAAGUGAUUGUUCCUCCACCGCCUACAUUUAAUCUGAUCGAGCGAUCAGUGAGAUUAAAAAAGUACUUCCUUAUAAUGACGUGACCUGGUUCUGUGCCCGCCUAUUUUUCUUCCUUCAAUGAGGUUAUCUGGUUCUGUACA